GGGGGGAGGUGGGCAGGGGGUGGAUGGAUAAACCUUCUUAAGUGCCCACUCACACCCAGCCCUCCACCCGUCUGACGGAAUACAUUAAGCAGCUGUGGGGCUCAUUUACAUAAUAACCACCCCCUGCUUCAGGUUUUUCCCCCCAUGACAUGAUCAGCUAGACUGGGUGAAGAUCCAGAGCCAUUAUAAAGCAACGGCCGGACUACACUGUCUGGAACACUGUCAUACGAAGGCAGUUUAGUGCAACGACCCCCACGUCUCCCUCGAAUGUGACACCCCUGCAGUAUCAAGUCAAAGCCAAAAGCAGAAAGGACAUCUGCCCCCAAGCUGCCCCCACAAGUGGCUUGACAAUCACCGUACGAUGAAGUGAGACGUCAUGUCAGUGUUUGACCGCCCUUGCUCAGUGCAACGACUCCACGCUGCGAAUAUUUACCUUGUCACCCGCAUUCCACCCGCUCCAGGUGAAUCAUCGGUGACGCUCCAUCCUUUUUGUUCUCCCUUCCUUUUAUCCUCGCUUGUAUGUUCACCGACGCAGGAGCAGCCAUGAAAAGAAAAUCUCCUCUUAGGAGAUGACAUGAAUGACAUGUAAGAAAUAUAUAUAUUUUUUACAAAUCUUGGUUGUUGUUUUUGUGUGAUUGUCAUUUAGCUUGCCAAUAAUUAAUUAAAUUUGACACUG
Molecule: long non-coding RNA, 676 nt
Organism: Phyllopteryx taeniolatus (common seadragon)
Lineage: Eukaryota; Metazoa; Chordata; Actinopteri; Syngnathiformes; Syngnathidae
Exons: 3
Source: RefSeq, a predicted model, not a curated record